This 406-nucleotide ribosomal RNA is filed under the name uncultured bacterium. RNAcentral's name for it is "partial 16S ribosomal RNA". It matches the Rfam family "Bacterial small subunit ribosomal RNA", at positions 29 to 526 of the family's 1533-position model. The record is from RNAcentral.
AAUGAACGCUGGCGGCAGGCCUAACACAUGCAAGUCGAACGAGUGGCGGACGGGUGAGUAAUGUCUGGGAAACUGCCUGAUGGAGGGGGAUACCUACUGGAAACGGUAGCUAAUACCGCAUACCAUCGGAUGUUCCCAGAUGGGAUUAGCUAGUAGGUGGGGUAACGGCUCACCUAGGCGACGAUCCCUAGCUGGUCUGAGAGGAUGACCGGCCACACUGGAACUGAGACACGGUCAAGACUCCUACGGGAGGCAGCAGUGGGGAAUAUUGCACAAUGGGCGCAAGCCUGAUGCAGCCAUGCCGCGUGGAUGAAGAAGGCCUUCGGGUUGUAAAGUACUUUCAGCGGGGAGGCGUUACCCGCAGAAGAAGCAACGGCUAACUACGUGCCAGCAGCCGCGGUAAUUC